UCAGCUCGUGUCGUGAGAUGUUGGGUUAAGUCCCGCAACGAGCGCAACCCUUGUCUUUAAUUGCCAUCAUUCAGUUGGGCACUUUAAGGAGACUGUCGGUGUUAAACCGGAGGAAGGUGGGGAUGACGUCAAGUCCUCAUCGGCCUUUAUGCCCAGGGCUACACACGUGCUACAAUGGGUGGUACAAAGAGCAGCAAGCUCGCGAGAGCAAGCGAAUCUCAAAAAGCCAUCCUCAGUUCGGAUUGAAGUCUGCAACUCGACUUCAUGAAGUCGGAAUCGCUAGUAAUCGCGGAUCAGAAUGCCACGGUGAAUACGUUCCCGGGCCUU
This 327-nucleotide ribosomal RNA is filed under the name uncultured Syntrophus sp. RNAcentral's name for it is "bacterial SSU rRNA". It matches the Rfam family "Bacterial small subunit ribosomal RNA", at positions 1055 to 1382 of the family's 1533-position model. Lineage: Bacteria; Pseudomonadati; Thermodesulfobacteriota; Syntrophia; Syntrophales; Syntrophaceae. The record is from RNAcentral.